GGUGAGUAACACGUGGAUAACCUACCUAUAAGACUGGGAUAACUUCGGGAAACCGGAGCUAAUACCGGAUAAUAUUUUGAACCGCAUAGUUCAAAAGUGAAAGACGGUCUUGCUGUCACUUAUAGAUGGAUUCGCGCUGCAUUAGCUAGUUGGUAAGGUAACGGCUUACCAAGGCAACGAUGCAUAGCCGACCUGAGAGGGUGAUCGGCCACACUGGAACUGAGACACGGUCCAG
This 235-nucleotide ribosomal RNA is filed under the name uncultured Staphylococcus sp. RNAcentral describes it as "partial 16S ribosomal RNA". It matches the Rfam family "Bacterial small subunit ribosomal RNA", at positions 105 to 334 of the family's 1533-position model. The record is from RNAcentral. Lineage: Bacteria; Bacillati; Bacillota; Bacilli; Caryophanales; Staphylococcaceae.